AGUCUGCAACCCGACUACAUGAAGCUGGAAUCGCUAGUAAUCGCGAAUCAGAAUGUCGCGGUGAAUACGUUCCCGGGUCUUGUACACACCGCCCGUCACACCAUGGGAGUCGGAAAUGCCCGAAGUCAGUGACCUAACCGAAAGGGAGGAGCUGCCGAAGGUGGAGCCGGUAACUGGGGUGAAGUCGUAACAAGGUAGC
Molecule: ribosomal RNA, 199 nt
Filed under: uncultured bacterium
Lineage: Bacteria
Description: partial 16S ribosomal RNA
Rfam family: Bacterial small subunit ribosomal RNA
Source: RNAcentral